Athalia rosae (coleseed sawfly) is the source of this 471-nucleotide long non-coding RNA. RefSeq lists it as uncharacterized. The transcript is spliced from 3 exons. NCBI's taxonomy places the organism in Eukaryota, Metazoa, Arthropoda, Insecta, Hymenoptera, Athaliidae. The record is from RefSeq and is a predicted model, not a curated record.
UAUCGGCUGUUGGGUGACAGGGAUGUGGGCAUUGCGCUGGUGCUGUACGAAACCGCUACCGCCCCGGCGUGCCCCCCUCGAUGGUACGCCAUCGCUCCUGAUGAAAGGUCAAAAAGAAAUUCAGUCGGUUACAGGUUCAUCGCGCUGAACUGACAACGAACGGAGAAAAGAAAACGACAAAAUGGAAAGGGAUUCGACACGGCGAUAAAGAGCGUCCGUCGAUAACUGGACAAAGGGACAGCUUCGAAGCACGAUGAUCGGGAUUCGGCUACAAGAGAGAACCGCGUGUCAGAAGAGGCUGUGAUCAAAUCAAUGGAAUCGAUGAAAUUUCGAACAAUUGAAACGGCUGGAGGUUCGAGUUACGUGGUAUAUCACGGGGACGGCGUCCUACUCUGUGGAUAACGUUUGUUGGAUUACCUAUUUACCUCGUUGUUUACGUAACACUGAAUAAAAUUAAUCGCAUUUUCAUCU